Molecule: ribosomal RNA, 407 nt
Filed under: Chloroflexota bacterium
Lineage: Bacteria; Bacillati; Chloroflexota
Description: Chloroflexi bacterium (freshwater metagenome) partial 23S ribosomal RNA
Rfam family: Bacterial large subunit ribosomal RNA
Source: RNAcentral
CUCGGCACCUCGAUGUCGGCUCAUCGCAUCCUGGGGCUGGAUAAGGUCCCAAGGGUUGGGCUGUUCGCCCAUUAAAGCGGUACGUGAGCUGGGUUCAGACCGUCGUGAGACAGGUCGGUCUCUAUCCGCUGUGGGCGUAAGGGAUUUGAGGGGAUCUGCCCCUAGUACGAGAGGACCGGGGUGGACAGACCUCUGGUGUGCCAGUUGUCGUGCCAACGGCAUUGCUGGGUAGCCACGUCUGGCAGAGAUAACCGCUGAAUGCAUCUAAGUGGGAAACUCGCCCCAAGACUAGAUCCCUCAUCCCGUUAAGGGAGUAAGGCCGCAGGAAGACCACCUGCUUGAUAGGCGCCAGGUGUAUAGCCAGCAAUGGCUGAGCCAAGGCGUACUAAUGGCCGAGGGCUUACCUG